RNAcentral lists this ribosomal RNA (491 nucleotides) under uncultured bacterium. RNAcentral describes it as "partial 16S ribosomal RNA". It matches the Rfam family "Bacterial small subunit ribosomal RNA", at positions 29 to 507 of the family's 1533-position model. The record is from RNAcentral.
GUGAACGCUGGCGGUAGGCCUAACACAUGCAAGUCGAACGGCAGCACAGUAAGAGCUUGCUCUUACGGGUGGCGAGUGGAGGACGGGUGAGGAAUACAUCGGAAUCUACUUUUUCGUGGGGGAUAACGUAGGGAAACUUACGCUAAUACCGCAUACGACCUACGGGUGAAAGCAGGGGAUCUUCGGACCUUGCGCGAUUGAAUGAGCCGAUGUCGGAUUAGCUAGUUGGCGGGGUAAAGGCCCACCAAGGCGACGAUCCGUAGCUGGUCUGAGAGGAUGAUCAGCCACACUGGAACUGAGACACGGUCCAGACUCCUACGGGAGGCAGCAGUGGGGAAUAUUGGACAAUGGGCGCAAGCCUGAUCCAGCCAUACCGCGUGGGUGAAGAAGGCCUUCGGGUUGUAAAGCCCUUUUGUUGGGAAAGAAAAGCAGCAGGUUAAUACCCCGCUGUUCUGACGGUACCCAAAGAAUAAGCACCGGCUAACUUCGUG